GAUGAAGAACGUAGUGAAAUGCGAUAAGUAGUGUGAAUUGCAGAAUUCAGUAAAUCAUCGAAUCUUUGAACGCACAUUGCGCCCCUUGGUAUCCCGAGGGGCAUGCCUGUUCGAGCGUCAUUUCACCACUCAAGCCUGGCUUGGUGUUGGGCGACGUCCCCUUUAGGGACGCGCCUCGAAACGCUCGGCGGCGCGGCACCGGCUUUAAGCGUAGCAGAAUCUUUCGCUUUGGAAGUCGGGGCCCCGCCUGCCGGAAUACCUACUUGUAAGGUUGACCUCGGAUCAGGCAGGGAUACCCGCUGAACUUAAGCAUAUCAAUAAGCGGAGGA
Molecule: unclassified non-coding RNA, 329 nt
Filed under: soil metagenome
Description: partial contains 5.8S ribosomal RNA, internal transcribed spacer 2, and large subunit ribosomal RNA
Rfam family: 5.8S ribosomal RNA (bases 1-120)
Source: RNAcentral